AUGGCAUGCACACACCUUGCAGAUGCACCUUACAUGUGGCAUGCCUCCUGGGGGGACAAGCUGGAAAUACUGUUCCAGGCCUGGGCCAGGGUCCAGCAGCCCUUAGCCCAGCAGUCCAUCCACUGGAUAGAGGCCAUUGAGGGGUAUGAUACCUCCUCCCAAAAGGAUGAAGUGGUAUCUGCAGACAGAGCUGAGGUUAUCCCCAGGGUGUGUGGAGAUCCACCCCCACUGGAAGGGCCAGAUACCAUCAUGCCUAUCCUCAAGGAAGAUGGAUCCUACCUGCUCUGUGGAUUUUGGGCUGAUGAGCCUGAAGCACCAGCCCAGGCCUGGUCUGAGACUGUGAAAUGUACAAUCCAGCAGCCCAUCUGCUGUGCUGAGGCCAAUGUGGUGGAAGACCUUUCCUACAAAAAGGAGGAAGGGGAGGUGGCAACUGCAGUCCAGGCUGAGCCUAUCCCCAGGGUGUGUGGAGAUCCACCCCCACUGGAAAGGCCAGAUGUCAUCCUGCCUAUCCUGAAGGAUGACAGAUCCUACAUGCUCUGUGGAUAUUGGGCUGUUGAGUCUGGAACACCAGUGCAGGUUUCUGCUGAGCCUUGGCACCUUACAGCCCAGCAGCCCAUCUGCUGUGCUGAGGCCAUUGUGGUGGAAGAUACCUCAAGCCAAAAGGAGGAAGGAGAGGUGGCAUCUCCAGACCUGGCCAAGGCAAACCCCAGGGUGUGUGGAGAUCCACCCCCACUGGAAGGGCCAGAUGUCAUCGUGCCUAUCCUCAAGGAUGAUGGGUCCUACAUGCUCUGUGGAUUUUGGGCAGAUGAUGAUGUUGAAGCUCCAAUCUGGGCCUGUGCUGGGGCCUGGCACCCUACAACCCAGCAGCCCAUCUGCUGUGCUGAGGCCAUUGUGGUGGAAAACCCCUACCACCAAAAGGAGGAAGUGGAGUUGGCAUCUACAGACCAGGCCGAGGCUAUCCCCAGGGUGUGUGGAGAUCCACCCCCACUGGAAGGGCCAGAUGUCAUUGUGCCUAUCCUCAAGGAAGAUGGAUCCUACCUGCUCUGUGGAUAUUGGGCUGAUGAGCCUGAAGCACCAGUCCAGGCCUGGGCUGGGGCCUGGCACUUUACAACCCAGCAGCCCAUCUGCAGUGCUGAGGACACUUUGGUGGAAGAGCCCUCAUUUCAAGAGGAGGAAGGUGUGGUGGCACCUGCAGACCAGGCCGAGGCUAAUCAGAGCCUCUGCUCUGCAUCACACCUCGGGGUGUGUGAAGAUCCACCCCCACUGGAAGGGCCAGAUGUCAUUGUGCCUAUUCUCAAGGAUGAUGGGUCCUACAUGCUCUGUACAAUUUGGAUGGAUGAUCCUGAAGCGCCAGUCCAGGCCUGGGCUGGAGCCUGGCACCCUACAACCCAGCAGCCCAUCUGCUGUGCUGAGGCCAUUGUGGUGAAAGAUGCCACCUACCAAAAAGAGAAAGUCAUGUUGGCAACUGCUGAUUGGGCUGAGGCUACCUCCAGGUAAAUCAACAGAUGUGUUCAGGGUGUUUUAGUAUGGACAUGGGGAGAUAUCAGACGUGAGGUGAGAGAAUGUGCCCUUUGUGUGAUUUAUAUCAUUCAGUUUUCCUCCCACAAUGACUGGAUGCACCUCUUGAAAGCUUCAUGUGCUGAGUUGCACUGUAACACUGUCCUGCUCACCGCCCAUUUACCCUCAAUGGGCCCCUGUAUAAAUUUCCCUGGAAACCUGUCACCUGUCUAGGUCACUCCUAAUGCCACUACUUCUGUGUGGCCUCUCUAAAAAGUGAGGGCCACUCCCUUGGUCCCUCUGCUUGUCCUUCAUCAGCAUCCCUGUGGUGCAAUGGUGAGACAGGGAGUGUGCGGUGC
This is a long non-coding RNA of Oryctolagus cuniculus (rabbit), 1856 nucleotides long. The record is from Ensembl. NCBI's taxonomy places the organism in Eukaryota, Metazoa, Chordata, Mammalia, Lagomorpha, Leporidae.